This 634-nucleotide long non-coding RNA is filed under the name Chloebia gouldiae (Gouldian finch). Its description in RNAcentral is "Erythrura gouldiae (Gouldian finch) lncRNA (ENSEGOG00005002417.1)". Lineage: Eukaryota; Metazoa; Chordata; Aves; Passeriformes; Passeridae. The record is from RNAcentral.
CGGGGCCGCACAGCGCUGCCCCUUUAAGGCAGCGCAGCCCCGCGCGCAUUCCGGCGGCCGCGUCAGCGUUCCGGGAAGCGGUGGCGUCACCCCGCCAUCCCUCCCUCCCUCCCUCGCUCGCUCGGUGCCGCCGCCGUCCCGCGGCGGGGCGGGCCCGGCGAACAAAGGCGGCACAAACAUAGAAGGCAGGGUCCCGGCCGAGCUGAGGAGGUGGCGGAGUUUGCCUGCAGCUCUGUCCGCAGUGUGGUGAGGUGGAACAGCCGCUGGAUGUCCCUCCUGCGCCGCUCUCAUGGACAAGGAGCAGCUUCCGGAGGGACGAGCCUGCAGCUGGAGAAGGCAAAUGGACAGGGUAAGAACUUGCUAUUCACAGAGUUCCUCCUUUGGCUCCUGUGGUGUAAAGCUACCUGUACCUGCUGCUACAUGGAAAAAAAAAAAACCUGCAAAAGAAUUAAAAUUCAAGAAGCCUGGAUUUAUUUGAAGUAAUACCAGUAGAGAUCUGGGAUAAUUCCAUUAGAAGCACUGCAGUCAUUCUUCUAAAAGGAUACCUAAAGAGACAUUCUCCAGGGCCUAGACAGUAAUCUUUGUUACAUUUUUAAGUGGGCAUCAAUUCCUUGCAGAUACUUUCCUUGACUUU